AUACGUAGGGGGGCGAGCGUUGUCCGGAUUUACUGGGUGUAAAGGGAGCGUAGACGGUUUGGCAAGUCUGAUGUGAAAGCCCGGGGCUCAACCGCGGGACUGCAUUGGAAACUGUCAGACUUGAGUGCAGGAGAGGUAAGUGGAAUUCCUAGUGUAGCGGUGAAAUGCGUAGAUAUUAGGAGGAAUACCAGUGGCGAAGGCGACUCUCUGGACUGAUACUGACGCUGAGGCACGAAAGCGUGGGGAGCAAACAGGAUUAGAUACCCUGGUAGUCCACGCUAUAAACGAUGAGUGCUAGGUGUCGGGGGUCAAACCUCGGUGCCGCAGUUAACACAUUAAGCACUCCGCCUGGGGAGUACGGCCGCAAGGCUGAAACUCAAAGGAAUUGACGGGG
RNAcentral lists this ribosomal RNA (394 nucleotides) under uncultured bacterium. Its description in RNAcentral is "partial 16S ribosomal RNA". It matches the Rfam family "Bacterial small subunit ribosomal RNA", at positions 523 to 918 of the family's 1533-position model. The record is from RNAcentral.